This 141-nucleotide microRNA precursor is filed under the name Gossypium arboreum. Its description in RNAcentral is "MIR7502 microRNA precursor family". It matches the Rfam family "MIR7502 microRNA precursor family". Lineage: Eukaryota; Viridiplantae; Streptophyta; Magnoliopsida; Malvales; Malvaceae. The record is from Rfam by way of RNAcentral.
AGGUAAAGAUUUCAUCCAUUUUUAUUAAAAUAGGUGUGACUAACAUAAUAACUAAACAGUUACAUAUAGCGUGCCCCGUGUAUCUCACUUUGAUAUAUAAUGAUCAGUUUUUAAUAGUAGAAAUGGAUGAAAUUUUUAACA